Molecule: ribosomal RNA, 1589 nt
Filed under: Klebsiella pneumoniae
Lineage: Bacteria; Pseudomonadati; Pseudomonadota; Gammaproteobacteria; Enterobacterales; Enterobacteriaceae
Description: partial 23S ribosomal RNA
Rfam family: Bacterial large subunit ribosomal RNA
Source: RNAcentral
UGCUGGAGGUAUCAGAAGUGCGAAUGCUGACAUAAGUAACGAUAAAGCGGGUGAAAAGCCCGCUCGCCGGAAGACCAAGGGUUCCUGUCCAACGUUAAUCGGGGCAGGGUGAGUCGACCCCUAAGGCGAGGCCGAAAGGCGUAGUCGAUGGGAAACAGGUUAAUAUUCCUGUACUUGGUGUUACUGCGAAGGGGGGACGGAGAAGGCUAUGUUAGCCGGGCGACGGUUGUCCCGGUUUAAGCAUGUAGGCUGGUUAUCCAGGCAAAUCCGGAUAAUCAAGGCUGAGGUGUGAUGACGAGGCACUACGGUGCUGAAGUAACAAAUGCCCUGCUUCCAGGAAAAGCCUCUAAGCAUCAGGUAACAUCAAAUCGUACCCCAAACCGACACAGGUGGUCAGGUAGAGAAUACCAAGGCGCUUGAGAGAACUCGGGUGAAGGAACUAGGCAAAAUGGUGCCGUAACUUCGGGAGAAGGCACGCUGGUGUGUAGGUGAAGCCCCUGCGGGUGGAGCUGAGACCAGUCGAAGAUACCAGCUGGCUGCAACUGUUUAUUAAAAACACAGCACUGUGCAAACACGAAAGUGGACGUAUACGGUGUGACGCCUGCCCGGUGCCGGAAGGUUAAUUGAUGGGGUUAUCCGUAAGGAGAAGCUCUUGAUCGAAGCCCCGGUAAACGGCGGCCGUAACUAUAACGGUCCUAAGGUAGCGAAAUUCCUUGUCGGGUAAGUUCCGACCUGCACGAAUGGCGUAAUGAUGGCCAGGCUGUCUCCACCCGAGACUCAGUGAAAUUGAACUCGCUGUGAAGAUGCAGUGUACCCGCGGCAAGACGGAAAGACCCCGUGAACCUUUACUAUAGCUUGACACUGAACAUUGAGCCUUGAUGUGUAGGAUAGGUGGGAGGCUUUGAAGCGUGGACGCCAGUCUGCGUGGAGCCAACCUUGAAAUACCACCCUUUAAUGUUUGAUGUUCUAACGUUGGCCCCUGACCGGGGUUGCGGACAGUGUCUGGUGGGUAGUUUGACUGGGGCGGUCUCCUCCCAAAGCGUAACGGAGGAGCACGAAGGUUAGCUAAUCCUGGUCGGACAUCAGGAGGUUAGUGCAAUGGCAUAAGCUAGCUUGACUGCGAGCGUGACGGCGCGAGCAGGUGCGAAAGCAGGUCAUAGUGAUCCGGUGGUUCUGAAUGGAAGGGCCAUCGCUCAACGGAUAAAAGGUACUCCGGGGAUAACAGGCUGAUACCGCCCAAGAGUUCAUAUCGACGGCGGUGUUUGGCACCUCGAUGUCGGCUCAUCACAUCCUGGGGCUGAAGUAGGUCCCAAGGGUAUGGCUGUUCGCCAUUUAAAGUGGUACGCGAGCUGGGUUUAGAACGUCGUGAGACAGUUCGGUCCCUAUCUGCCGUGGGCGCUGGAGAAUUGAGGGGGGCUGCUCCUAGUACGAGAGGACCGGAGUGGACGCAUCACUGGUGUUCGGGUUGUCAUGCCAAUGGCACUGCCCGGUAGCUAAAUGCGGAAGAGAUAAGUGCUGAAAGCAUCUAAGCACGAAACUUGCCCCGAGAUGAGUUCUCCCUGAGACUUUAAGUCUCCUGAAGGAACGUU